This is a long non-coding RNA of Canis lupus familiaris (dog), 809 nucleotides long. RefSeq lists it as uncharacterized. The transcript is spliced from 3 exons. Lineage: Eukaryota; Metazoa; Chordata; Mammalia; Carnivora; Canidae. The record is from RefSeq and is a predicted model, not a curated record.
CCUGAGAUCAAGACCUGAGCUGAGAUCAAGAGUUGGAUGCUUAAAUGACUGAGGCACCCAGGGCAACUCCACUUGCUGUUUCUUGGCAUGACAUCCACCAUGGCACUCUUCAGCAUUCUCUUCAGCUCCUAAGAGAGGUGUUCCGUGAUCAAGCCUACUUGAAACACCUUCUCCAUCUCCAUCCUCUGCUUCAUUCUGUCUCUCAGAAGAUCAAGAGAUCCAGCUCUCCAGAGUGGAGACUUAUCCUGUCCUCUCUCUUUUCUGCCUGGUGAUCUGUUUGAAAGUCAUCAAUUAUGUCACAAGCCUCACCCAAGAUAUGACUUCGAACUAGAGUUGUGAAAGAAUGUACUUGCUCCUUUGUGUGAUUCCUGAAAUUUUCACCUUGGGACUGGCCCCGGUCAGAUCUGGGGCUCACUUUGAUCCUUCACCAGGAGGAUUGGCUGGUAGAGGCUCAGGAAAGACUGUCAUUGCAGGCAAAAUAACUGGCUUGAUACCAGAAAAUAUGGAUUCUGUUUUUCAUGCCCAGUGUGACCUGGGGCAAAGCACACACAUGCACAUGUGCACACACACAAUCUCUGAACUGCAAUUUCUUCAUUUUUUAUCUAUUCAAUAAAUAGUUAUUGAAGAUCUACUCUGGGCAUGUUAGCUGAAAAAAGAGGGUAAUCAAAUUUUCUCUCUUAUCUCACAACAGAACCGUGGAGCUCAGAUGAGAUAAAUGAAAAGAUAUUAAAGUACUAUUGUAUGUAAAUUUAAGAGUCAAUAGUGAUAUAAUGCUAGGCCUUGUACCAUGGAAUGUGCCUAAUAAGCAG